CCUACGGGAGGCAGCAGUGAGGAAUAUUGGUCAAUGGGCGGGAGCCUGAACCAGCCAAGCCGCGUGAGGGAAGAAGGUACAGCGUAUCGUAAACCUCUUUUGUCAGGGAACAAAGGCGGGGACUAGUCCCCGGAUGAGGGUACCUGAAGAAAAAGCAUCGGCUAACUCCGUGCCAGCAGCCGCGGUAAUACGGAGGAUGCGCGCGUUAUCCGGCUUUAUGGGGUUUAAAGGGUGCGCAGGCGGCCUGUUAAGUCAGCGGUAAAAGCCCGGGGCUCAACCCCGGCGAGCCGUUGAAACUGGCGGGCUGGAGUUGGAGAGAAGUACGCGGAAUGCCUAGUGUAGCGGUGAAAUGCGUAGAUAUUAGGAGGAACACCGGUGGCGAAGGCGGCCUGCUGGACUGUGACUGACGUUGAGGCCCGAAGGCGUGGGGAGCAAACAGGAUUAGAUACCCCAGUAGUC
This 459-nucleotide ribosomal RNA is filed under the name uncultured bacterium. RNAcentral's name for it is "partial 16S ribosomal RNA". It matches the Rfam family "Bacterial small subunit ribosomal RNA", at positions 338 to 795 of the family's 1533-position model. The record is from RNAcentral.